UACGGGGGGAGCAAGCGUUGUUCGGAUUUACUGGGCGUAAAGGGCGCGUAGGCGGUCAGCACAAGUCAGUUGUGAAAUCUCCGAGCUUAACUCGGAAAGGUCAACUGAUACUGUGCGACUAGAGUGCGGAAGGGGCAACUGGAAUUCUCGGUGUAGCGGUGAAAUGCGUAGAUAUCGAGAGGAACACCUGCGGCGAAGGCGGGUUGCUGGGCUGACACUGACGCUGAUGCGCGAAAGCUAGGGGAGCGAACGGG
Molecule: ribosomal RNA, 254 nt
Filed under: uncultured bacterium
Lineage: Bacteria
Description: partial 16S ribosomal RNA
Rfam family: Bacterial small subunit ribosomal RNA
Source: RNAcentral